Molecule: transfer RNA, 85 nt
Filed under: bacterium
Lineage: Bacteria
Description: tRNA-Tyr
Rfam family: tRNA
About the family: Transfer RNA (tRNA) molecules are approximately 80 nucleotides in length.
Source: RNAcentral
GGGGAGAUACCCAAGCGGCCAAAGGGGACGGACUGUAAAUCCGUUGGCACUGCCUUCACAGGUUCGAAUCCUGUUCUCCCCACCA